CCUACGGGAGGCAGCAGUAGGGAAUCUUCCACAAUGGGCGAAAGCCUGAUGGAGCAACGCCGCGUGGGUGAAGAAGGUCUUCGGAUCGUAAAACCCUGUUGUUAGAGAAGAAAGUGCGUGAGAGUAACUGUUCACGUUUCGACGGUAUCUAACCAGAAAGCCACGGCUAACUACGUGCCAGCAGCCGCGGUAAUACGUAGGUGGCAAGCGUUAUCCGGAUUUAUUGGGCGUAAAGGGAACGCAGGCGGUCUUUUAAGUCUGAUGUGAAAGCCUUCGGCUUAACCGGAGUAGUGCAUUGGAAACUGGGAGACUGGAGUGCAGAAGAGGAGAGUGGAACUCCAUGUGUAGCGGUGAAAUGCGUAGAUAGAUGGAAGAACACCAGUGGCGAAAGCGGCUCUCUGGUCUGUAACUGACGCUGAGGUUCGAAAGCGUGGGUAGCAAACAGGAUUAGAUACCCGAGUAGUC
This 465-nucleotide ribosomal RNA is filed under the name uncultured bacterium. RNAcentral's name for it is "partial 16S ribosomal RNA". It matches the Rfam family "Bacterial small subunit ribosomal RNA", at positions 338 to 795 of the family's 1533-position model. The record is from RNAcentral.